AUUGAACGCUGGCGGCAGGCUUAACACAUGCAAGUCGAGCGGGGAAGGGUAGCUUGCUACCUGACCUAGCGGCGGACGGGUGAGUAAUGCUUAGGAAUCUGCCUAUUAGUGGGGGACAACAUUCCGAAAGGAAUGCUAAUACCGCAUACGCCCUACGGGGGAAAGCAGGGGAUCUUCGGACCUUGCGCUAAUAGAUGAGCCUAAGUCAGAUUAGCUAGUUGGUGGGGUAAAGGCCUACCAAGGCGACGAUCUGUAGCGGGUCUGAGAGGAUGAUCCGCCACACUGGGACUGAGACACGGCCCAGACUCCUACGGGAGGCAGCAGUGGGGAAUAUUGGACAAUGGGCGAAAGCCUGAUCCAGCCAUGCCGCGUGUGUGAAGAAGGCCUUUUGGUUGUAAAGCACUUUAAGCGAGGAGGAGGCUACCGAGAUUAAUACUCUUGGAUAGUGGACGUUACUCGCAGAAUAAGCACCGGCUAACUCUGUGCCAGCAGCCGCGGUAAUACAGAGGGUGCGAGCGUUAAUCGGAUUUACUGGGCGUAAAGCGUGCGUAGGCGGCUUUUUAAGUCGGAUGUGAAAUCCCUGAGCUUAACUUAGGAAUUGCAUUCGAUACUGGGAAGCUAGAGUAUGGGAGAGGAUGGUAGAAUUCCAGGUGUAGCGGUGAAAUGCGUAGAGAUCUGGAGGAAUACC
Molecule: ribosomal RNA, 688 nt
Filed under: uncultured bacterium
Lineage: Bacteria
Description: bacterial SSU rRNA
Rfam family: Bacterial small subunit ribosomal RNA
Source: RNAcentral